UCAAUGGCUGGUGUUAACCAUGCAUUCCUAUCAAUGCACUUUGUUUCCUCACUGAUAGGAAACAGCUGUCUGUGGCCCCGGUAGGUGCCUAGAGACACAGAAGAAGAAAUGAAAGAAGUCUGGGGGAUGGCACGAGCAGGAUGGGCAUAGAUUGGGGUUUCAGUGCUGCUGCUCUUGCCACUAAUAAGAAAAGAAAACAAGUGUCCUGCAGUGCAUCUAGUGCCUGGUUGGUUUGGCCAGACCAAACCAUCAACAACAUUGCCUGCCACAACAGACAGCACCUGAUGGUAGAGAUAAAACUGAGUAGUACCCAUAAUGCAACUGGCCAACUGCACAGUUCUGCGUGGGGUGGGGAAAGCUCCUUCCUGCCUCCCACAGACUGGCUUAUGCUCUGACUCAAGCUCUCAUCAGCCUGCUUUAGCUUGUAUUGUUACCAGCAUCAUGAAGGGAAAGCUACCCUUUAAGCUUUAGCUGCAAAACACAAUCAUAUGUGUUUUUCAUCUGGGUGGAAGCUGCCUCCAGUUUUCAUAAGGAUUCCUGUUUUACUCUAAGGACACUGACUGGUUGACAGUUUCAGCUACGGGCUUUAGAAUAAUGGGAAUUGUGUGUCUAAAUCCCCUGGACAGCGAUGAAAGCCUGGACUUCUAAUGCUGGAUUUCUAACCUCCUGUUUUCCCAGUGAGAUGCAUUUCUUGCCAUGGGGAUGUUCAGAACCUGCUUUCAUCAAAACUGGAGGUGGGGAGAAAAGAAGGCAGAGGUCCUGUUUGAACACCAUGUUUGUGGCUGAAGGAACAAAACAGCAGUUUGGUGCCAGAGAGGGGUUCAGGCUGAGGGUGAAACCAAGAUGUCCUCACAGCCCCAUACCUGACAGCAUCUCUUUCACUUCCCCACACAUCUUACAAUGACAUCAAUCAGCAUCUCUGGAUUGCAUGUGUCAUUUUGCUGUGCCUUCAGCCAAGACCCACAGUUCCUACUUUAGUGGACUGUGAAAUAAAAGUUCCUGGCAUGUGA
This is a long non-coding RNA of Alligator mississippiensis (American alligator), 1010 nucleotides long. RefSeq lists it as uncharacterized. The record is from RefSeq and is a predicted model, not a curated record. The transcript is spliced from 2 exons. Lineage: Eukaryota; Metazoa; Chordata; Crocodylia; Alligatoridae.